Molecule: ribosomal RNA, 301 nt
Filed under: uncultured bacterium
Lineage: Bacteria
Description: partial 16S ribosomal RNA
Rfam family: Bacterial small subunit ribosomal RNA
Source: RNAcentral
CAGUCGCCACGGUAAUACGAAGGGUGCAAGCGUUACUCGGAAUUACUGGGCGUAAAGCGUGCGUAGGCGGUGAGUUAAGUCUGCUGUGAAAUCCCCGGGCUCAACCUGGGAAUGGCAGUGGAUACUGGCUCGCUAGAGUGUGUCAGAGGAUGGUGGAAUUCCCGGUGUAGCGGUGAAAUGCGUAGAGAUCGGGAGGAACAUCAGUGGCGAAGGCGGCCAUCUGGGACAACACUGACGCUGAGGCACGAAAGCGUGGGGAGCAAACAGGAUUAGAUACCCCGGUAGUCCCUGUCUCUUAUAU